RNAcentral lists this ribosomal RNA (253 nucleotides) under uncultured bacterium. Its description in RNAcentral is "partial 16S ribosomal RNA". It matches the Rfam family "Bacterial small subunit ribosomal RNA", at positions 524 to 776 of the family's 1533-position model. The record is from RNAcentral.
UACGUAGGGGGCAAGCGUUGUCCGGAUUUAUUGGGCGUAAAGCGCUCGCAGGCGGCUCGAUGCGUCGUGCGUGAAACACCCCGGCUCAACUGGGGAGGGUCGUGCGAUACGGUCGAGCUUGAGGCCAGUAGGGGCAGGCGGAAUUCCGGGUGUAGCGGUGGAAUGCGUAGAGAUCCGGAAGAACACCAGUGGCGAAGGCGGCCUGCUGGGCAGUAGCUGACACUGAGGCGCGACAGCGUGGGGAGCAAACAGG